Molecule: non-coding RNA, 116 nt
Organism: Triticum aestivum (bread wheat)
Lineage: Eukaryota; Viridiplantae; Streptophyta; Magnoliopsida; Poales; Poaceae
Source: Rfam
CACAUACUCCCUCCGUUCAGAAUUACUUGUCUCGAAAAUGGAUGUAUCUAGAACUAAAAUACGUCUAGAUACAUCCCAUUUCUAUGACAAGUAAUUUCGAACGGAGGGAGUAGAAC